RNAcentral lists this ribosomal RNA (1472 nucleotides) under metagenome. Its description in RNAcentral is "bacterial SSU rRNA". It matches the Rfam family "Bacterial small subunit ribosomal RNA". The record is from RNAcentral.
AGAGUUUGAUCCUGGCUCAGAACGAACGCUGGCGGCAUGGAUUAGGCAUGCAAGUCGAACGUGAAGCUCAAGCUUGCUUGAGUGGAAAGUGGCGAAAGGGUGAGUAACGCGUGAGUAACUUACCCCCAAGUUGGGAAUAACCCUUCGAUGAGGGCUAAUACCGAAUGUGGAUAUUUAAUCGCAUUGAAUAUUUAAAGAUUUAUUGCUUGGGGAUGGGCUCGCGUCCCAUUAGUUAGUUGGUAAGGUAAUGGCUUACCAAGACAAUGAUGGGUAGCUGGUCUGAGAGGACGAUCAGCCACACUGGGACUGAGACACUGCCCAGACUCCUACGGGAGGCUGCAGUCGAGAAUCUUCCGCAAUGCGCGAAAGCGUGACGGAGCGAUGCCGCGUGCAGGAUGACGGCCUUCGGGUUGUAAACUGCUGUCACCGGGGAAGAAUAAAUGACGGUACCCGGAGAGGAAGCCACGGCUAACUACGUGCCAGCAGCCGCGGUAAUACGUAUGUGGCGAGCGUUGUUCGGAUUUAUUGGGCGUAAAGGGUCCGCAGGGGGUUUGUUAAGUCUGAUGUGAAAUCCCGGGGCUCAACCCCGGAACUGCAUUGGAUACUGGCGAACUAGAGUAUCGGAGAGGAAAGUGGAAUUCCAGGUGUAGCGGUGGAAUGCGUAGAUAUCUGGAAGAACACCAAUAGCGAAGGCAGCUUUCUGGACGAUCACUGACCCUCAGGGACGAAAGCGUGGGUAGCAAACAGGAUUAGAUACCCUGGUGGUCCACGCCGUAAACGUUGUGUACUUGAUGUGGGGGGAUUUAGUCCCCUCCGUGUCGGAGCUAACGCGUUAAGUACACCGCCUGGGGACUACGGCCGCAAGGCUAAAACUCAAAGGAAUUGACGGGGGCCCGCACAAGCGGUGGAGCAUGUGGCUUAAUUCGAGGCAACGCGAAGAACCUUACCUGGAUUUGACAUAUACCGGACCGCCUGUGAAAGCAGGUUUUACUUUUGUACUGGUAUACAGGUGUUGCAUGGCUGUCGUCAGCUCGUGCCGUGAGGUGUUCGGUUAAGUCCGGCAACGAGCGCAACCCGUGUCGUUAGUUGCUACCAGGUAAUGCUGGGCACUCUAGCGAUACUGCCCGUGUUAAGCGGGAGGAAGGCGCGGAUGACGUCAAGUCCGUAUGACCUUUAUAUCCAGGGCUGCACACGUGCUACAAUGGUUGGCACAAUGGGACGCAAUACCGCGAGGUGGAGCAAAUCCUGAAAACCAGCCUUAGUUCGGAUUGUAGUCUGCAACUCGACUACAUGAAGUCGGAAUCGCUAGUAAAGGCGUAUCAGCUACGACGCCUUGAAUACGUUCCCGGGCCUUGUACACACCGCCCGUCACAUCAUGGAAGCUGAUUGGACCCGAAGUCGUUGAUCUGACCCGCAAGGGAGGAAGACGCCGAAGGUCUGGUUAGUGACUGGGAUGAAGUCGUAACAAGGUA